Molecule: long non-coding RNA, 3398 nt
Organism: Ctenopharyngodon idella (grass carp)
Lineage: Eukaryota; Metazoa; Chordata; Actinopteri; Cypriniformes; Xenocyprididae
Exons: 4
Source: RefSeq, a predicted model, not a curated record
UUCAUGUCCUGAUGUGCGUGGAAUUCCAUCAAACAACCUUCUAGUGUCAGUAGGUACUGUGAUAACGGGGUCCACGUAUGCAGGAAUCUCUGAAUGGGCUGCUGUGCUUAAUCUUCAAGUACCACACAAAACAACUUUUUAUGCAAUUCAGUCUUCUUACCUCAUACCUGCAAUUGAUGAGGUAUUCAAAGAACAACAGACAGCCUUACUGGAACAUUUGAAGGCAGGAAGCACAGAAAAAAAAGGAAAUACAUUUAUCUGGAGAUGGAAGAUCAGACAGGUAAUUUUUCAUGUGAAUGGUGAAUUUUUAUGUGAAAUUAUGUUAUCUUUAAAGGGUUUCUGUUAUAUCUCAAUGCUGUCCUGGAUAUUAGGCAAAGUACACCACAUACAGCUUGAUGGAUGACAAUACAGACAAAGUGGUACACUUUGAGCUGGUGCAAGUUACAGAGUCAUCAAGCUCUGUAGCAAUGGAGUCGACUGGUUUCAGGAGAGCACUCAGCAAAAUCCUAGAUGACAAUAUUGGAGUAAGUGUAGUGACAACUGAUAGAUCCCCAUCAAUUCACAAGAUAAUGCGAGUAGACUACCCAAACAUUCAUCACGAAUUUGAUGUAUGGCAUGUGGCAAAAGGAAUGAUCAAGAAAUUGACUUCGGUAUCCAGAUACAAAGACAACAGACCACUUCAGCCAUGGAUUAAGAGCGUUAGCAAUCAUCUGUGGUUUUCAUGUUCAUCUUGUGGAGGUGACCCGGAUGUAAAUCGCGUGACUGUGUUUCUGUAACUGGUUUUUAUCAAAUAAACUGUAGAAGACAGCUAAAUAUUUACUUCAAAUUUAUCAGAAGCUGAUCAAAAGGUGGAAGUCACUUCUGCACCACAUUUGUGGGGUUCAUUCCUGGACAGAAGAUGGAGAAGAAAGAAAAUGUCUGCAUAGCGAGCUUACCUGUGAAAAAAGAAAUGGCUCGAUAAAAAGUCCAGGGCAUUCAUUACACUAGAGAACCUUAUCUUAGACAAGGGUCUUCUGAAGGACCUCAGAGAGAUGGCACUUACAAAGCAUACUGGUAAGCUUGAAGUGUUCCAUUCACUGCUCCUGAAGUACUGCCCCCCAAAAAAUACACUUCCAUUACACAUCAAUGCUUGCACAUACCCAGAUGGCAGUGCUUGACCACAAUGAGAAUGUUAAUAGACAGCAGGCCAGAACCAACACUGGUAAGCUUGCUAUACAAUAUAUCAAUGAUAGUUAUGUAAUAUUUCAGUACAAAUAUAAUUUUUUUUUUUUUUUUUUGAUAGGUACACUAUGGUUCAAUGUAGUGUUUCCCAAGCACUCUAAACAGUGGGUGGCCAGAAAACUGUACGAGUCCCCAACUCAAAAUUUCAGAGACGAUCUCGUACUAUUAUUUACAAGGACUCUUCUUCACAUUUGGCAAUACAAGCUGUCCCAAAAAACAUAUCGCAGCAGACCAAACCAUCUAAGGAAGAUUCUGUAGAUUAUCUGUAGAUUCACAAAUGAACAGUUAUCAAGUCACUGGAAAAAAUGUAGUUAUAAACCAAAUUAAAAACAACUUAAAACCUAUUAUAAGUAAAUAAGGAACCAAAUGCAAUACAAUGUUUAAUAGAUCAAUUAUAAUUUAAAUAUCUCAAUUACUGAAUUUUUCCUAUAAGCUUUUUGUUAGCAUUUAGUUAUUAAACAGAUAGAUUGACUUUUGGAUACUACUGUAACAGGCAAUGUCAAACAUCACACACACACCCCUAAAGAAAACCACCAUGCAAUGUGGAACUUACUAGCGUCACUUCCUAAAGUUAACCUACACUGUUGUCGGUCUGUAAAAAAACUACUUUGAGAAUCGUGACAAAUGCUUUGCAACUGUGUUAACGAAACACAAGUUAAAGUUAAACUAAAUCUUCUGCUGUUUUCUCCAGUCUCCGAAAAAAGAUGACAACAAGCGAGUUUCUUUUUUAAUAUUUAAGCGGUGGCUUUUGAAAUGCAUGUGUUUAGUAAGGAUCGAUGUAUUUUAUUUUAUUGAAAAGCAUGAGGAAAAAAGUUUCUACCGAUGUAUCAUUCAAUUUUUCUACGUAGGCCAUAGGCCUAUAUCUAUUUCCUGGCUAGCUGUAAGCUGUUAAUAGAAUGUUUAAUUUAAAGAUUGUUUUUCUGCAAUGACGGUCGACACUUAUUUAACGUUUAAUGACCUAUGUUCGUUAUUUUCUCAACAUCAUUAUUUUGAUAGCUAUGUUGUUUGAAUCAGUGUUUUCAUAAUUGACGAAAGCUUUAUGUGCAGAUAUUUUGUAGUAGCUUGAUCCAUUGCCUUUUCUGUUUUUAUGUGCUGAUAUUUUGUAGUAACUUGUUAAGAUUGCAUCAUCGUGUUAAUGUUGUUUGUCACUAAUUACCUAUCUGUUUAUUGUUAUUCUGUUGUUUGAUCAUGUUAAUGUUAAGAUUGUUUGACCAGCGUUGUCAACGCAUCCCAAGAUAACGUUACGUCAUAACUCAUCGUGUUUAGACCAUGCUGAUGUGACGGUCUUGCUUGGGUGGUCUUUCUGCCGAGCUGCACAAUGGAGAACACGUGGAAAUAAGGGAAACAGCAUGGAGAAUUAAAUGACUUCACUUCCACAGCAUGUCUCAUUAUCUCUGCUGUUUAUUUAAAACAGUACUUUCUUUUUUUAAUCUUUUUAAAUCAUUUAAAUCUAAAUACUUUUUGUUUUAUCAUACCGAACUAGAUUUCAUUUUUAGUCAAAUAAUUUACAUGUUCCAUUUUAUUUAUUUUUAAAUUUUAACAUUAAAUCUAAAGAGAGGACCAUUUUCAUCAAUGACCAAGAGAUGGCGCCAGAGCUCUAUAUAUUCUAUCUGAAGACCAGGGCUGCGUUCCAGUUCGUUUUUUAAAUGCCCUUCCCUCGCUCACUUCCCUCAGUCUCGUUGACUCGGAUGUACGUCACUGCUUACGUUGCAUGAGUGCCCACUACUGGCGGAACCUUUGCAAUGGGCUGAACUGGAACGUCCUAAGCCCUUGAUCACUUGGAAUCCGUAAUGGAGCUGACUUAUUAUUUAUUUUUUCCCCUUACAAAAUUGUUUAAUGCAGCAUUCUAUAUGUAUAUAUGUGUGUUUUAAAUAUUUAAAACAAUAAUUAACAUAUCAAAGAGUUGUUUGUGGUGGGGUAAAUUAAACGCGAUAUGCGGUGACAUCACAAUCGUGUUGCAUUGUGGGUUAUGGAGCUGCCUGAAGUGUACAUAUGAAGUAGACCCGCUCCCUCGGUCAAAAUCGAGGGAGCAAGGUUCUGUCCAUAUAAACUUCCCUCGUCCACUUCACGAAGUGGAACGCACUAUAGAGCGUGAGGGCAACAUAUUAGGUAGUUGGUUUAUUCAUCUAUUUAGAUUAUAGUUUUUAAAAAAGAUUAUAUCACCAUCUGUAUUAUCU